CUUCCCCUUCCCUCCAAACUCGCAAACAAAGCCUUAGUUUCCUUAACCUAUGUGUUCUUAGUCCAAUGUGUAGUGAUCCCAUUUGAAAAUGGAAGGUUUUGAAGUAUAAAAGAGUCCUUGGGGCAUGCGCAUGCCUGCCCAAAGGCACAAAACACCCUAAACCCAUGAUUCAUGAAUAGGAAGUUUGUGAUCAGCUUAUAAUAGAAAGACGGUAGUUCAUUGACAAAGUUGAUUUUGAUCCAUCAACAUGAACACUAAUGUCCCAAAUUAACAAAGCUUUAGUUUCAAUGAUAAUAAUAUCACACAGUAAUAACUCACCAAGUUAAUUAACAGCAAGUGGCAUCAUGAAAUCUUGUAGUUUUUCUUUUCAAUUUCAGUAAUCAAGCAAAUGUUGUAAAUGUCUUCAUUGUUAUAGUUACAAAUCUAGGAACUCUUCCUAAGCAUGAAAAUACAAGAUCAAAGAAAAUUUAGAAACUUUAGGUGUAUGGUAUCAUGUAAUUCAACCACAAUAUGAUUGAAAUCUGGUGACAUACAUCUAAAAACAAUAUACAGCAACUAACAGUGCAGAUUAAACCCAAUGUUAGUCAUUUUUAAUUUGAUGCAGUACUAAGACAGAGAGAAUGGAUUUAGGGUGAGAGGUGAGAGUACACACCUUAUAUAAAUAAUGAUAUACAUCUCAUUCAAAUUUAAGUUGACACAUUCCUGAGGUCCUUGGCACAUCAGAUAAUGUUUUUGAGAAUGUCGUGCUUCUUCUUUAGGUCCAAUGAACUAUCAGCAGUAAUCAUCAUUGUCUCUAAAACGAGUCCUUUUUGCAAAACAAGCUCAACAAAUGACACCUCAUCUGGAAAUCCUUGAAAUUCUUUAAAUUGAAUAAAGGUAAGGUGGGAUACGAGACAAUUAGGAACACUUGGCAGUGGAAGGUGCAAUAUUCAACUUUCAACUAACUAUUGGGGAAAGACAUCAAGAUACGCUUCCACGACUUUGUGUAAGUUGUACAUGCUGAAAUCCUGGCCAAAUGUGAUUCGGGUAAUGUUAAGGUACUCAAGAUCAGGCGCAUUUAUUUCAAGGUAAACCCCAACUUCAUCAUCCUCAUUGGCAAUUUCCAACCUUCUUAAGGAAGGUGGGACACAAACUUUGUCCAAGCUUUGCGGAGAAAAACUAAGAUUAGAGGAAGUCUACAUUCAGGGACUAAAUUGACUAACAAAGUCUGCAUUCAGGGACUAAAUUGAAUAACAAAGUCUACAUUCAGGGACUAUUUUGACGAUUUCUUAGCUACUAACGUGACUAAUCUCCAAGAAAAGAAAACAAUUAGUUCAACGUUAUGCAUGCAUGCAUGCCUGAGGUGAUACGAGGUUAGAGGAAGUGAAGCUGAGGUAGGUUGAAACAAAAAAAUUAACUUUCUUUUUUUCCUUCAAACAAAAAAAUUAACUUUUUUUUUUUUGAGAGGAGAUUUUAAAUAACUUUAUUAUUUUGAAUAUACUUUUGAAGAUAUGUUUGAGUAGGUAUUUUGAAAAUUAAAUGAUACUCUUCUGUCCCAGGUUAAGUGAGUUAUUGUGAAAUAUAAAUAUAUAAAGGUGCAAAGAAUCAUAUGAUGGCACUAAAAUGAAAUUCUCAAGAACACAUGAUAACACUGUUCUAUUCUUUACAAAAGAAAACAGCUCUAUCCCAUCCCAUCCUAUAAAUAACUCUUGCUUUUAUAUAUACAGCAACUGCUUCUAUCUUUGACCAAAAAAAAAGUAACUGCUUCUAUCUGUAAUGCAAAAGAAGGUAUAUGAAACCUAUGUAACCUUAAAAAAGCCAAAUCAGAUCUACAGUCCUACUUUCCUUAAAAAAGCCAAAUGUAGGUUGUUAUGCACAAUGGAUGGGAAUCUAAGCAGCAUAUUCUUCUAGUUGGGAUGAGCUGCCAAGAAAUUCCAUCAUGACUAUGUGCAAAGACAAAUACCAUUUUCAAGAGCCUAUGCACAGACUACGUGAUUUCAUGACCGAAACAAUAAUAUAUCAAAAUAUAUUAUCUAUGUUUAAUAAUUUUGUCCGACAAUUGGUUUGCCUUGGCAGCUAAGCGAGCAGUUGAACCGACAGUCAUUGGCUGCAAUGAUAUUUGCCGGACCAUAGCACAGUACUCAGGAUCCUCAGUCUUCCCUUCAUACCUUAUCCACUGUACCAUUUCGUGAUACAUUGGAAAGAACCGCAUCUGAAUUGCUUUGUAUGAGAAGUAUGGUAUAAGAGUUGAGAUCACCACAAAGAAUGUGACUAUCCAAUAGGAAGACGAAGGAGCAAGAGCUUCAACGAAGACUGCGUAAGCGUUUUCCGAAAACCUUGGAGGAAGUGAUCCAUAGAUUAUGAGAAAAAUGUACCAGAAGAAAAUGGAACCCCAGAUGAAAAAAUGUUGGAUCAAGGUGAAGUAACUUAUAGAUAAUGCCAUUUGCAAGUUUACAACCCAAACUACGCAAGUGUACAUGGUUGUUCCAAGUAUUUCUCUUCCGGCAGUAUUUCCCUCGUGAUCAAAAGCUUGGAGCUCCAUGGCUUUGGUGCAGAAGAAGAAAAUUAAUAAGGCGCUAAAGAAUCCGUUAAGCAUCCAGCUGAGUACUCGACGCCAGCUGAAAAGGACAUUUUGCACUCCUUCUUGAUAUAACAAAGGAAACUUGAGGCAGUACCGAGCAGAUACGUCUUGGUCGAAUACACCAAGAGCGACCACAGGAAGUGAUGAAAAGAAGACGUUAUAGAGAGCUAAAAACCAGUCGUUGUAUGCAGGUUCUCCGGAGAAUGAUGCAUACACCUCAUACAAGAAUAGAGUGAAACCAAAUGUGACAUUCUUGUAGAAAAAAUAGCAUAUCUGUCAGAAUAAACAAUUAACACGUUAACAGAAUACCAAACAGUCAGUCAGAGGAACUUCACUAUAAUCUAGAGAUCCAAUUAUAGGCACAGUAAUAUUAAUACCAUCGAUGAGAUCCUCCGGUAACACCAAUGGCCGUGCACCAGAAGUAAUCGUUCCAAAUAUCGGAAUUGUGCAAUUGCAAUAUCACUAGACAUAACAGCCUGUGGAAUUAGAAGGGGAAAAAAGAUAAUGUUGUUUAGAAUAAAGAAAAAAGUAAAAUUCAAUGAAAAAAACAUGAAUAUUGUGUGAAUUUAUGCAGCACCUGCAUUCCUUCAACACCACUUAUACCAACUCCGAUAUCAGCUUCUUGAAGCAUUCCAACAUCGUUAGCUCCAUCGCCGAUAGCUAAUGUUGUUUUCCCGGUUCCAGAUUUGACCAAUCUAGUGACCUUUAAGAUAAAAAUUAGAUAAAUUAUUUCCUAUGAGGCACUCAUAAAGACACUAGACACAACCUUGACACCAGUAAUAAUAAUUUGAAAAGGAGAAUAAUUGUUUCUAAAAUGUAACCAUAUUUUUUAUCAGGACCAAUAUAUAAACACUGGAUCUUUCAAAAACCAAAAUAUAUGAACACAGGGUAGACUGAAAAAUACCAGCGCCUUCUGUUUUGGCGAUGAACGACAACAAAUAACAGAUGCACAACGAAUUGCAAGCUCGAGAAACAUGUUCUUCAUAUCAUCCUCAAGUGCAUAAGCAAGUGACUUCCCAUCAAUGAUUAGCGCAAAUGCCUGCUGAGAAAACCCUCUGUGUGCACUAAGCUGUGCAGCACCUUCACGUAACUGAGAGAGGACACUUUGCCUUGAUGUCUAAAAGAUGAAUCAACGAAAAAUCAGGAUACAAGUUUCCAGCUCUAUACAGUAUCAUCACAAGAACACUAACAUACCAUGAAAUCAUAGUGAAAAACUUAAAUCAUCAAUAAAGGUAAAAUAUACCAACUACCAAGCAAUAUAAAACAACUGAAAGUAUACCAGCUUGCACUGUCACCCUUGUACCCUUAGAAACAGAAGAGUAAUGCUAAGCUUAUGCAGUUACAGUAAUUCUUAAUAUCGCUUUACUAAACUGUUUUGUUCAGAAAACCAGAAUGGAAUCUAAGUUCAAAACGUCAGCAUUAUAAAGCAGAUUAAGCCGCCAUUUCUACUAUAAGAUAUGUUACUAGAAUAUUGCGAUGUUGAAGAGAACCAACUUAUAAACACGCUCACUGAAACUAUACAUUAUAUGCUCUAUAGUCUAUAUACAAGCUGCACCAUGUUAGAUAAAAAACUAUAUUAAGAGAUGAAGGUUUUUUUUACCUUGGUAAUAGCUAUUUUGUCGCCAUCUUUCUCCAGAGCUUGAAUUUCUGGAUUAUCCAAAUGAAUUAUAAUCUGUUUCAUUCCUUGUCUAAGCAAACUACAAGCAAAGCUGCAAUGGAGUAUUUGUGUCAGUUAACUUGAAAAGCAGAUCUCAUGAGGUGAAGCCUAUGUAGCACUGACACUUCACAUUGAAGGUGUGUCCCAUAUGCAACACCGACACGACAUACGUGAUUAGGUCAACUAUUUCAUUUCUUAAAUUAUAACUGGCGUUGAUAUGUCAGUGUUGUGUCCAACGUCUGUGUCAUUGCUUCAUAGGGUGAAGCCAUAGUAUAAAAAAUAAUAACAUUAAAUAUAAUACCCAAUAUUGAUAGCAGUUUCCAUUUUAUCCCCAGUCAAAACCCAAAUCUUAAUUCCUGCUUGGGCAAGCUUGUCAAUGCAAUCAGGAACCUUGCAAAAAAAAAAAGUGCAAUAUAAACAUGAUUACUAGUUCCAUUCCAAUAAUAAUCUUCACAAGUAAAACAUGAUUUUUUUUUUUUUUAUUAUAACUAACCCCAUCUUGGAGCUUGUCCUCUACAGCAGUAGCACCAAGAAGGAUUAGGUUCUUCUCAAUAUUAUCCGAUACUUCCUCAAUCAGUGUUUCCCGAUCUGCACUAACUAAAUUCUUGGCCUCAGAGAAUGUGUUAUCAAACUCCUUGUAUUCCUCUGCUGCAAGUUCACGAUAGGCGAGUAUAAGGGUUCUUAGACCUGCAUCGGCAUAUUCAUGCACAUGUUCCAUGGUUUUCUCUUCAAACUCCCUUCCAUUCUUGGCAAGUCUUUCAAACAUGACACUGCAUGAAAUAUCAAUUAAGGCUGGACAAUGAGUGAAAAACAAAGGACAUAAGUAAACAUUCAAAAUCAUUUAAGGGUACAGAUCAAUUUAUCACAAACCUAUCGGCACCUUUACAGAGUAAUAAAAUUUUCCCUUCGCCAUCUUGUACUAUUACCGACAUUCUCUUCCUUGAGCUAUUGAAUUCUAAAACAUUGAGAAUCUUGUACAUCCUGCAAAUUGAAAGUAGUUACUGAAAAACUGUAUCGUUGAGAUGAAAAAAAAUUCCAAAAAUUGUGGCUUUAACAACAUUUUAGAAGUACAAGCAUGAGUUAGUAUGUAUAAAGUGAAAAUCUUAAAUCCCAAACAGCAUAGUUAUGCAGGAAAUAAUUAAGGUUUGGAAAACCAUUGAACCAUUUUUCUCUCUCAAAACUUAGUUCUUUAAAACACCAUAAAGGUGUAAGGCAAAGGUACAAAGUGUACAAACUCACCUAUUCUAUAUGCAGCUAUAGGACCUGUUUGGAUUGGCUUUUUUGAAUUUAUCUACUAGCAUAAGUACUUGUGAAGCUGUUUGGUAGUGCUUAUGCAAACAAUUUUUCACCUGUCCAUAAGCUGUUUUCAGCUUAUUCCAUAAACUCUCCAGGAAACAUUAUGAAAACAGCUUAUCAAAUACAUAAAAACAGAAUGACUUUAUUUUAUAUUUUAUUAAUAAGUAGCUUAUACAAACAGUUUAGUCUACUUAAUUAAGUUGUUUAUCCAAACAGGGUUGUCUAGUUCUUUUAAUUAAAAAAUUCUUAUUGUCAUUAGAUGAUAAGCUGUUAUAAAAUGUAUAUCCGUCCUAAAGUUGUGUUUCCACGUGCAAGGAAAAUUGCAGCAGUAGCAGAAAAAUUCUAAGCAAUUGAAACAACUAACCUUUCAACUUUCUUGCCUGAAACUGGAUCCAACUCACAUGUCGAUAAACUGGUCUGAGCCCUUUUGAAGAAUUCAAAACCAAUUUCUCUCGCCGCAAUAACAAAUGCAGCUUCAUCCGGAGAUUCAGCCUCGUAGGAGACAUUUCCUGUCUCUUGAUCUAUUUCUGGUAUGGCUGUAUGACAUACGGCCAAUAGACGAAAAAACUUCUGGAUAACAUCUGCAUGAGGUUCAUUAACCCAGUUACCAUUCAUUAUUCUUUCAUCAGUAAAGUUAAAACUUUUAAUGGCUGCUUUUUUAUCAAGAGAAACCCUGAUGUGAUCUUCUUCAGAUAUAUCACACUCGUGAACUAACGAUGAACUUUUUCUUCUAUCCAUGGUUUUCUCAACUUCUGUAACACCACGACCAUAAGCUACACCAGCGAUCGAACAUUUGAUGAAUUCCAUCGAGUUGCAGGUCAAAGUUCCAGUUUUAUCAGAAAGUAUUGUGUCAACUUGACCGAGCUCCUCGUUCAAGUUUGAAGUGCGAGCAUGUGCCGGUUUGUCUGCUUCCUUGUAGUACAUAUGGAUAUCUUGAUUGAUGAAAAUGCUCUGAAGGACUUUUACAAUUUCUAUUGACACAUACAAAGAGAUGGGAAUAAAGAAACCAUACAACAUUAAGGCUGUCAAACAAUGAAAUAUAGCAGCAGCAGCCGGUCUUUUUGGAUCAAAGAAAAUUGUAGAGUCGUCAGGCCUUAAAUACCAUCUUUUCACCGAAUCGUUGUUCAAGUCAUCUUUAGUUAUAAAGCCAAAGAAAAUAGAUCCCACGGAUGCCAUUAGAAACAAAAUACAGAACAAGAAGUAAAUGACUCUAUCCAUCUUCCUCUCAACUCGGCUUCUUUUUGAAGGUGGAUCAGUAGAGUUCUGAAUAACCUUAGUCUCAUGACCAGUGAAGAUAACAGCUCCGAAAAUAUAGUCUGUAUUACGAAGUUUAGAGUCUCGCAGAAGAAGUUGCUGUGGGGAAAGGGCAUAGUUUUGACCUUCAAACUCCAAGCUCCCAACAAACGAGUACAGAUUUGCAUUUGGAUCUUCACAUUUGACAGUAGCUUUAAAUUUUUUGAAGUUGAGAUCCUCAUGUAAGGAAGAUGUUACCUCUAAACCUUGUUUUAGCUUCAAAUUUGUCUCGCCGUCUAAGUUCAUGGUCUCAACAUAGCAAACUGCAUCUUCAUAACUCGAUGAAAGCAAUAAGAGAUCCGCUGGGAAGAACUCAUUCUUCUCUACCUUCACUAUAUUUCCUACCCUCAGAUUCUUCCAUGCAGUAUAUUCAAAAAUGCCAUCAACUUUAUGAACUUUAACUCUUCUAUUGUUCACCUCAAUAUCCUGCAGAAGAAUCUUAUAUGUCACAAAUGAAAUAAAAAAAAAUGAAGGUACUAAAACCAUAUUACAGAGACUAAAAGCGUUACUAACUCAGUAUUUUAUCAUAUGCAGGGACAGUUAAAAAAUAUAAAAUCAGCAUUAGUAACCAUUGAUUAAAAAUAACAAUUUAAAUUUUCACAUAAUACAAGAAAAUCAUUGGCUCCGUCAAGUUUUUUUAGGGGUUACCAUUGGCAUUUUACGCUAUAAAGUGCACCCUGCAACUUAGCAGAUUCAAACAUUGAACAUAUACUGGAGUCACAUGAACAAAUAACGAAGUAAUUGCAGUUCUUCCUUUCGAAACAAUACCGAGAAACUAAACAGAAAAGCUACAAUAUUACAUAAGCUGCCUGCCAAAAUUUUACCUUUUGGUAAAGUACUUCAUGGCCUUGAAAAAAUACCACAAAAUUUUCAAUUAUUUACUGAUUGAUACUCUUUAAGCCAUUAAGUUUGGGUCGAAUUAUUUGAGCUUAUCUACAGGCAUAAACACUCGUGAGACUAUUCAGGGGAGAUUAUGAAAGAAUCUUAUGACAUGUCCAUAAGCUCUCUGGGAUAGCUUAUGAAAACAGAUUAUAGCUUAUAAGGAAACUAUUUUAUUUUAUUUUAUAUUUUGUUGUAAAAAUAGCUUAUGCAGAAGCACUAAUAUGAUAAGAACUUAAGCUAUACAUUCAUAACUAAGUUGUUUAUCCAAACAGAAAAGCUACAAUAUUCCAUAAGUUGCCUGCCACAAAUUUACGUUUUGGUAAAGUACUUCAUAGCCUUGUAAAAAUACCACAAUUUUUUCAAUUAAUUAAAUACUGAUAGUCUUUAAACCAUUAAGUUUGGAUUGACUUAUUUGAGCUUGUCUAUUUGCACAAACACUUGUGAGACUAUUCGGGAGAAAUUAUGGAAGCAGCAUAUGCCUCUCCAGGAUAGCUUACGAAAACAGCUUAUAGCUUAUAAGGAAACAAUUUUACUUUAUUUUAUCUUUCACCGUAAGAAUAGCUUAUACAAAAGCACUUAUAUGAUAAGAACUUAUGCUAUAAAUGCAUAACUAAGUUGUUUAUCCAAACAGAGCCUAAAUAAAUAAUUUAUCUCCCUUAUAUUUGUUUAACACUAAGUUAAAAGAUACUCAUAUCAUAUGUAUACAGAAUAUUCUGAUUCAUAUGGAAUCUCUCUCUCUACACACUUGUACUUCAGGAUAGAGAAGAAGGCAAAAAGUUUCAAAAGUAAACAGAAUCCACAACAGAAAGAGCUGGUAGUUAGAUAGAAUAUAGUACCUGCUUUUUCCUACGCCAAUCUUCAAUACCUUCUUUCACAAUAGUUGCUCCAAUAACAACAACAAGAGGAAGAAUAGCAGUAACAGCUCUAUAAGGAGCAAGUUUUGUGAAAGCCAAAACACCAGUAACCAAAAAAUAGAAAUUUGCAACUCUCCUAAACUGUUCAAAAAGUGAUUUUGGAAAGAAAGUUGCAGCAGUAUAUUUUGUAGAUCUAACAUAAUUAUCUGCAAAAUUCCUUAUCACAGCUUCCUCAGAAGCAGUAGCAGUAGUAGUAGUAGUAGUAGUAGUGUCGUGUUCAUUGCAUAACACCACUCUUGAAUAACCUUUACUACCAAUUUGUGAAUGAUCUCCAUCAACAGAACUUGCUUUGAAACAUGUGAAUGAAUAAAUCUUGCUUAAAUGUAGCUUCCUAUUUUUUCCACCCCUCAUUCUUAAGUCUUAACCACCCUUUUUUCAACAAAAUGAAAUUCAAUAUCAAGAAACAUAAAUUAAAAUAAGCUGAAAUAAUUGGUUUUUCAAAUUCCAAGUGUCACUGCCAAACUAGACUUAGUCAAAAUGGUAAAUUUCCAUAAACCCAAUUUCCAAAGUAUGGUCACUGACAUGAAUUAUAUCCUAAAAAUGCUGAGAGCUUCUUCAAAAAGCAAAAGAAAAAAAGAAAAAAAAAAAAAAACUACUUCCAAUUCCAACAACUACACAAUGCUAUCAUAUCAUAUCACAAACACCUCAUAACCCUAACCAAUAGCAGAAAGACCCAUUAAACAAAAAAACAAAUAAAGUAAAAGAUGCUAAACCCCAGAAAGGUUCCAACAAGAAAAUGCUCAAAAACCCUUAAUUUAAUCAAAAAAAUCAAAACUAUAAAACUAGUAAAAAUCCAAUCUUUAAAACUACCAAGAGAGAGAAAGAAGCGAUACACACAACUAUGAACCGAAUUAGGCCUGCAAAAUUGUGAAAUCUACAAUGAAAAACUGACACAAGACCAAAACAUAGGAUAGUGUCGGCAACAGAAAGUUCUAGAAGAGAAUGAAAAAACAAUACAAAAACUGCAGAUUUGAAUGAUGACAGUAUUGUCUCAAGAACAAGGUUUGAUCAAGCAUUUUGGGUAUAGAAAAGACAAGCAUUUCAUUUUCAGAACAUAAACUAUUCAUAUUUAGUUCAAUGUUUUUUUUUUCAAGAAAGUGGAAAAAAAAUACACUUUUUUUCCGGGAAAAUAAAGUGGGAAAAUGCUAACACAGAUUUCCACGUAAAACAGAUAGAACAAAGUUUUCUUUUUUCUCUCUUUUUCUUUAUCUUUAUUUUCGCGGGAAAAAGCUAUCAAUGAAGCUUUUUUUUUCGUCAAUGGUGGUCACCGAGAAGAAAUAGUGUCACUCUCAAUUUCUAUUUGUUUUUAUUUCCUAUUUAUCCAAAAAAAAAUAAAUCACAAUUAAUAAACCAAUAAAUACGACGACAUUUGAAUGAGAUGAUAAAAAAAUUUCUCUAAGAUACAACAAUGUUAAAUUUUUUUAAGUAAUUCUUUUACUAAUUUGAGUAUAACGAUGCUAGUUAAGAUAGAUAACAAAGAAAUAAUUUUUUGAUUAUAAAAAUGAUGAAAAUUAGUGUCGUGGCAAAUCAAAGUGAUGAGAGAAAGGACCAUCUAUAAAAACAUGUAAUAAAAGGACAGAAAGUGAUAUGAUUUUUUUUUUUUUUUAAAUACUACUAAAAAAUGAAAAAUUCUUACCAAUUCACCUAUUGAUUCAAUUUUUCAAUCUUAGAAGUAGAGAGAGGGCAGCACGUAUGCAUAUAGACAACAACGAUGUUUUCUUUAUUUAAAAGAUUAACAAGUGUUGAAGAUUCAAAGCCGACAAUACCUCAUAAACACAAUCUUGUUGACUUCAGGUUGGAUCCAGCCGAAAAGACUAAUCUUUCAUAACACGAUGAUUUGAGUUCUGAUAAAAAAAAUACUCAUAUAUAAUGUUCGAUAAUGCAUCAAAUAAAAUUAUAAGGACAGAUGUUUUUAUCAGCGGUAGUUGAGUGUGUUGAUGAACAUGAAAUGCGCCGUCAUGUAUUGUGUAUUCUAACAUGCUCAUGUUGUUUUUUGACUAGUCAUUCAUUUGAGUUGUUUGGAACCAAAACAUGUUCUCUUGUGUUCGGUUUUUCGUACCUAGUACCAUUUCCUAAAUAAAUUUACUGUUUUUUUCUCUACUUUAACUUUACUUUUUUUAUUUUUAGUAUCAAUUUAUACCCUAAAAUGCCAUCGUCAUUGAUUGUGUUUCAUAAAGGAAGGCUCUUGGAAACUCACUAGUUAAUUUACGUAGCACAUAGACACCUCUCAUUAAGUAUCAUUAAGUAUAUGGAACCAAUCAGUGACAAUUUUGUUAAUAAAUUGACCUAACAUUAAGUAUUAUUUCUAUUUUCAAAAAAAUAAAAAAGGAACAAAUUUUUAUUAAAGAAGUGAUGAAAAAUAGUGUCGUGACAAAUCGAAUUAAUGAGAAAGGACCGACCAUCCAUAAAAACAUGCAAUAAAACGACAGAAAGUGAUACACGGGUUUUCCCUUUUUAUCAAUAAAUAAAUUUGGGUAUUUCCUUUUUAUCAUUAAUAAGUAGAAGAAGUAUAAAUAAAUAAUGAAAAUAAAAUUAAAAUUUCUUAUGAAUUACCCUUUCAAUUCAAUUUUUUAAUCACAUAAGCAAAGAGGGAGAAAUAACACAUAUGCAUAGAGACUCAUUUUUCUUUUGACUCAAAAACAAUAUUAGGACCAAUGUGGUUGGAUAAAAAAAAAAAAAAAAGUCUUUUCUAGUUUUUUAAUGUGAUAAAUCAAAGUUUGAAUAAAUGAUACGAUCACCUUUAAUAUCCAACGAUUCAUCAAACAAGAGUAAUUUCGGUAAAAAGAAAUAAAAUAAAAAAUCUAUAUAAGAUCAGAUUUUUCAUUUUUGAUAAAAAAAAAAAAAAAAAAAAAAAAAAAACAAGAUUUGAGACAGUUUUGCGGUUCUAAGUAGAUGAGAUUUUAUACUAACUACGAAACACAUGAAGAAAAAGAUUUACCUCCUUUCAAUGACACCAAUGUUUUAGUAUGUGUUUGAUUCCCGAAUCUUCUUACAUCAAACACGCGUCUAACAUACCACUAAUCGUGAAAAUUGCGAAGCUAGUAUUUGGUGCUUCGAAAAACCGCGUGUCUGCAUAGCCCCACCGUGGAUCCAAACAGACUUGUAGUAUAAGAUUUUUUUACUAGUAAGUAGAUAAGUGUGUUGAUCAUGAACAUGAGAUGCGCCGUCAUGUGUUGUAUUCUAACAUGCUCAAGCAGUUUGUUGCCUACUCAUUUCAUCUGUGUUGUCUGUGAACAAAAACAUUUUCUCUUGUGUUGUUUUUUUGUUCCUGGUAUCAUGAAUAAAUUUACCUAUUUUUUCACUACUUUUCAAUAUUUCACUUUUUGAUUUUCGGUAUCAAUUUAUACUCUGAGAUACUGUCAUUGAUUGUUUUAUAAAGGAAGAUAACAGUAACUCAGCAAAAUUACACUUUUAGUCCCUUAACUUAAUUUCAGGUAACAGUUUGGUCCUUUAUCUUUUUUUCAUUUCAAUUUGGUCCUUUUUGUCCAUUUUCAUAUGAAUUUUUAAGCUUAAAAUUCAUGAUUUUAUUUUCUUAUGGUCUUUCAAUCUUCAAAUCUAUGAUACUCGUCUAUGUUUGCAUAAGAAUAUUAGAUUUAAAGCUUGAAAAUGUAUAUAAAAAUGGACAAAAAGGACCAAAUUAAAAUAAAAAAAAGAUAAAGGACCAAAAUAUUAUCUGAAAUUAAAUUAAAGGACUAAAAAUAUAAUUUUGCCGUAACUCACUAAUGUAGAACCGUAGGCAACUCUCUUCACCGAUUUUCCACAAAAAACAUUUUGGAGAGGAUUUUCCGCAGAUUUUAAAUAACUCAUUUAAUAGAAUAACUAAUGCACAAAAAACAUCUAAAUAGCAUUAAUAAAUAUACACAAUUAAUUAGUUCCUCAGAUCCACGUUCAGUGGCCAUUUGUUUAAAAAUAUUCUAAAGAUAAUAAAAAUAACCAAGUAAAUUAUCUCAAGUGUUAAAUAAGCUGCACCAAAGACAGGUCGUUCAGGGGAGCCUGUGUUCGAUUACCAGGUAGAACAAUUAUUGGCUAGGUUAGGGAGUGUUUUUUUAUUCUUGGCCAGGCUAGGGAGUGUUUUUUUUAAUUGUAUUAUUUAAUUAGUAAUAUAUCUACUCCUUUUUUAGUUAUCAAAUUAGCAUGAAAACUUUCAGAAAUCAUGUCUCCGUGAGUUUUGAUCAAUUGAUAAGGAUGCUGCAUAAUAUAUGUAGUGGCGGAGUUCGAACCACAAACACCUAAUUUAUAUUUACUAGAUUACUUAACAAAAAAAUAUUUCAACUUAUUUCUCGUUUUUAAAAUUCAAUGCAAUAUUUGUGACUGUUUGCAAUUAAUAUCACUCUUUUUAAUGGUGAGGAUAUGAGACAUAAUAUAAAUAAAUCAUAUCAUACUCAUAUAUGUUUGAUGCAUCCAUUGGACAAGAUACAUUAAUCAUCUUUUUAAUCCGAUUAUGAUGCGGAUUUGUAUUUUCCAUCAUGAGAAUAUGCUGAGGUUAGAAAUAACAUGAUAGGAUUAGAAAUAAAAGUACAUUUUUCAAAUUUUAUAAAUAAAUAAAAAAUAGUAAACAAUCUAAUAAUUAAUAAAACAACUUUUAAAAAAUCACUGGCACUACUAAAUAAAAAUAAUUCCAAAUUAGAAAAAAAAAAAAAAAAAAAAAAAAAAAAAAAGCAAUUUACCAACUAAAUAAAAUAUAUGAUACAUAUUGUAUGUAAUGACAACAAUUCCCUUAUAAGAACAUUAUGCUUUUUUUAGGAAAAGAACAUUAUAGUUAAGUUGUUAGAAAAAUAAAUUAAUAUUCAUGUUUUUAUAAUAUUAAUAAAAAAAAAUUUUGAAGGAAUAAGAUUAAUAAACUUAUUUUCAAGUAUUCUACUAUCCAUAGAUUUAUAAUUUUCUAGACAAUAUUAAAUGAAAAAAAUUAAUUAAAAAAAAAUCAUCCAUGUUUUCUUAAUUUAAAUCUUGUAUUUUUAUUUUUUUGAAUUUAAUAUCAAAUGCUGUUUUAUUUUUGUUUUUAAAACUUAAAUUUUAUCAUAUUUAUUUGUUUCAUAAUUUAUAAUAUUUUAUAAUGAUAAAUGUAUAAAUUAUUUUCUUAUCAUAUUUCGUUGGUUUCUAACCCAACUCAUAUCUAAGAUAUAAAUUUAAAUUAGAGAUGCAUGAUAUUAUAAGAUUCAAUAUUAACUUGCGGAGUAUAUUGUAUUGUCGACAAACCUUUCAUCAAGACAAAAUAUGAUACUCCCUCCGUCUCUAAUUAUAAGACCCUUUUGAGAAUUUUUUUUGUCCCUUUUUAUAAGACAUUUUUGUUAUUUUCAACUACAUUAAUUAUUUCUUUACAUACAUGCCUCUAUUUAUUAUACAUCUUUUUCUUCAAUCAACAAUAAAUAACAUGUUGAAAACAUAAACUAACCUUCUUUCUUAAAGGAUAAAAUUGUAAAAACAAUAGUGAUUACAAACAACUUUAAUACAAAUAUCCACUAUCUUAAUUCCCGUGAUUUUGGUAAAAGGGUCUUAUAUAUAGGGACGGAGGGAGUAUAUUUCUCUCAUGCCUCUUUUAUCUUGGUCAUUAAAUGAGUCAUUGAUUAUUUACCGCAAAGAGGAUAGAUAGAUAAAAUGAUAUUCCUUAAGACUUAAGUUAAGAGUUAAAACAUCAAAAGAUAAAAAAACCAAAGGAACACUGGGAGUUAUUCUUGUGUCACUUCCUAUGAAUGGAAACAAUAGACUAUAUUGAUCUCAUUAUAAUUUUUUUUGAGGAGUGAUCUCAUUAUAAUUGUCUCAUUUUAACUGAGCAUGAUUUUUGAGAAAAUAAGAGUAAUUGUGUUUAAUUUGACAAUGAAACGAGUUUCUUUUACUAAAUCGUUAGUGAAGUUAUUAGAAUGAUUGAGAUACAAAUAAAAAUAUAUUACAAACGAGACACUUAUAAUUAAACGAAGGAAGUAAUAAAGGAUUACAUCCUUUAGUCUCUAUUAUAAAUAAAAAUUGAUAUUUUAGAUUCUUCAAUAAAUAAUGUACGUAGUCUUUAAUAUAUAUCAAAUACAUCAUUUAUAGAAUAAACCUAAAAUAUUAAAAUUUGCUUACAAUAGUAAUCGGAUGGUGUAGUUCAAGUCUAAUCUCUAUUUCUACAAAUACUAUUUUUUAUUAACUGAGUUAAUGUAAAGUUCACAUAAGUUUAAAAGCAUGUGGACCUAUGAUAUUUAUUUACUUUGGUUAUAGAAGCAUCAGUGGGAUACUCUAACUCUCUAAAGGAAUAUAUCAUAUAUUGACAAUUGAGAAUAUAGCCAAAAUGAGAAGUCGUUUUUGUCAAUUAUAGGAUAAUUUAUAUAAGGUUUAUCCAUAUGGCCCUUUUGUCAUGUUUCUCACAAGAGACAGAAAUGCUAUCGCAAUUAGAACAUAUUUCUCUUUGAAACUUGGAUGGGAAAGAAUAAAAAGAUGAUCGAUGUAGAUAUUUAGAGUAAGAUAUUUAAUUUGUAAAGUGACAGCCAAAAAUUUAUAAUGAAAGAGAGUUGUUCAACAAACAUACGUAGAUCGGAUUUUGCAUGCAUCAGCACAUGAAUGUGAGACAAUUGCUUAAUGUUAAGAAUUAACAUAUAUGUAAUUGUAGUGGUUUGGAUGAGAAGAUUAGAUAAUUAGAUUUUUUUUUGGAGAGAGAUUAUAUUAGAUAAUUAGAUAUUCUACUAUACUAGCUAAGGUCUUUCAUAUUUACAAUUUUGUUCUUUCUCUCAAAAUAAAAAAAAAUAAAAAAUAUUGUUCUUAAACAAUACUAUUAAUCAAAUGAUCUGACCAACUUAACUACCAACUUAUGAUCAACUAGACAAUACCUUCAAUUAUAGGAUUUACUUAAUUGUUGUUCAUUUAUAGAAUAUAUAAUGUGUAUUUUUUUUCUCAACUACUGAUCUUUUUAAAUGAUUUUUUCAAUUAUUUUUACUUUAAAAUAUAUUUGUUUAUUUUUAUAUAAAAGUCAGAAUUUUAUUGAUUGAAAAAAAUAGCAUAACCAUUGAGGACCAAGCCUAAACCCAAUUAAUUACAAGUAAAACAAAAUUAGGUAAACCUAUUAAGUCUCUAACAUAGAAAGGCCUAACAAAUCUAGGUAAAGAGUUACCACCAUUGACCAUUAACAAGAUCAAUGCCAUGCUUAGCUAAAGCAUCAAUCCCAAGUUAUGUGUACAUAUACUAUUCAAGCUCUUAGCUACUUUGUAAACAAUUUCUCCGACUAGUUCUGUCUGAUUAUUCUCGAACCACCAUUUUCUCAUUAUUGAAUGCAAACACCAUAACUUGCGAGGCACUCAUUAAGUCGGAUACUAAGUUAGAAAAAAACGAUAUGAUAAAUUAGACUCAGACAUUAUUAAUUAAUGAUAAAGCCUUUUUUUUUGUUUUUACAAGAAUUAAUUGAAUAGGCCUUUUGCUCCUUUUUUUAGGUAAAGCAGGAGAGAGGACAGCAUUAAGGAGAAGCAACGACAUCCUAAUUAGGUUGGCACCCCGAUGAACUCCCAUCCCGCACCGCCACCUUUUGCUCCUUAUUCUUUCAAAAAAUAAAAAAAGAUUUUGCUCUUCGUAAUUAAAUUUAAAGAUAAUAAAAUAAAUUUUCUAUAUAAGUUAUCAAAUUGCGUACGUGCCUAAAAAAGGGUUGCCUGCGUAAGUGAUUUUUUAUUUUUUUUAGUUGAGUUGCCUACGACCUACGUAAGUGAUUAUCACAGCAUUUCGUUAAGACAUGUAUAAGUGAAAUAUUUAUAUCAAAUAAUGCGAUAAUUUUAUUUCACAACUGUACAUUAACUUAUUAAUGAAAAAGAUUGAUUGCAAGUUGCCAAAUUUUUUAAUCUUGACUUUGGUGAAUUAAAAACUCUAGUUGAGAGAAAACUAUCCACCUUGUAUAUGCCUUCAGAUUCUCAUAUAGAGAUUAGUCAACAUAAUGAUGUACACUUUGCAUCUAAUUUUAUUAUAUGGUCACGAAAAAAAACAAAAUUAUUUAUAUAAAUUUGAGUUAUAUCUUGGAUAUUGAUAUAUCUAACCCACACUUCCACACAGGGCCGUCUUAACAAAUUCAUAGGCCCGGUUUUAAUUUUAUAAGGGAUGCAAAAAAAAAAAAUCUGGGCCCCAAAAAAAUAAAUAAGUUAUUUAAAAAAAAAUAUAAUUAAAAAUCACACUUUGGUGGGUCUUGAACACAUGACCUCACACUCAACAAAAAAUAGCCAUGCCACUAAAGCAAGCUGUACAAAUUGAAUAAAUUUGCUUUUAAUAGAUAUAUAAUCAUUAUUUUCGUGUCUUACAUAUAAAAAAAAUAUAUUUUGGGCCCCAAAAAAUUGGAGACCCGGUGUCGUCGCCCAGCCUCGACGGGCUAUGGGCCGGCCCUGCUUCCACAUUAAGAUAGAAAGAGUGGUCAAGAAUGAUGAGAAGGCAACAAGAAAUUCAUGUGUGACUGGUUGAGCUAGGAAGGAUUCACUAGAACCAUUUGAAUUUUUGUAACGGUAAGAAUUCAUGUGUAUGUUUUUUUUUAUGCAACUUGCAAUAUGAUUUAAUUUCGAAAAUAAAUCAACUAUACUGAUUUUAUUUUUUUUAAAUCAAGUAUCUUCUGUGCGCGUAGCUGCAGAGACUAAUCUCUCGAGCUGAGUAAGAGUUUUAACGUUGUUGCAUGUGUAAGGUAGAUUCUAGCCCUGGACUUUAGUCAAGUUAAAAGAUAUCUAUGUCAUCUCAUGUAUCAUACUCGUCUAUAAUACAUGUUAAAAUAGUUCUUUUGAAUCACCUAAGUGGUAUGGUAAAAUGUCCAACCAUUUCACUCCCCGUUUUGAUCUUUUUGAUUGUAUGAUUUUAUUUUAUUUUUUUACCUAAAUUUAUGGUAUUAGGUAGUAUAUUCAUUUUGAUGUUAGGUGAGCAUGAAGUACCAUAUAUACAUUUCCAUAACCAUUUAUUCAACUAAUUAAUUUUACUAACUUGUUGACCAGCUGCUACUGGUCUAUUACAGUUUAGUAUAGUAAAAGAAAAUGUUAAUUUUAUGUUAAUUUGUUGUAGUCAGGUUCAUUCUAUUCUCAUAAUUUAUUAUUGGGUCUUGUUAACCAAUGUCCUUAGGGUACUAGUUAAGGAUUCAAAUAUAGAAAUAAUUUAUAAGUUUUAUGUAAAUAAAUUUACUUUUUAAACUUUCAAUAUGUCAAAUACAUUAUUAGAUAAAAUUUCCUUUUUAAACUUCUUAAUAUUUCCCUUUAUUAUUAUAUGAAACAUUGAGUAAUUAUAUAUUUGAAACCUUAUAGUUUUCCUUUGUUUUUCUCGAAAUAAUAUGGCUUGAUUGACUAAAAAAAAGUUGCUUGCUUGGUACAUAAUCUUUAACACAAAAUUAGACAUCAAUAUUAUAUAUUUGUAUAGUAAUUACCAACUUUUAUGUUACUUUUUCUCUAACCUUGGGCAUUUUUUUCUCUCUUUAGGUUCAACAUGACUCAUUCAUAUAGUGUUGAUUUUCGUAAAUGACACAGUUGAUGCAACAAUGGUUGAUCACUUAACAAAAAAACAUCAACCUCAAUCAUAUGUUUAGACCUUACACGAAACACUGGAUUGGAAGCAACAACCUUUGCACUUAGAUUCUCACACAACAAAAUUUGCAUGGUUUAUUAUUAAUGGGUUGAUAUAUCAGCUGUAUUAUUUAGACGAAUAAAAACUAACAUCAUAUUCCGACACUAUAUACGAAUGAGUGUGGACAUCAAAUAUGAGGAAAAAAAAUAUCCUAUAAGAGAGAACAAAUUAUAGAAAAUUUAAAAACCGUAUAAAAAUACAGGGUUGAUGUCAGAUUUUGUGUCAAAAAACAUUUGAUGAUUUUCAUUACAAGCAUUGCCUAAAGCUCGUGCUUGUUUCUAAUUACUGUUUAGAUUUGAUGAUUUCAACCAUAAUAUUACCACUCAAUUUCAUUGUAAGCCACAGGAAAGUAAUUUAUUAAUUGAAAACAAAGGCUAAGAUGUGUCUUUUGAUAGUGUUGUACAUGUACUAUCUGUACUAUAGUUGUCUCCAAGAAACACAUGACACAUUGUGACUUGUGAGUCUUUGUGCCUUUUGACCGUCUUGGUUAUAUCAAAAUUUCAUUUGAUUAUAGGCGAGUGAAUGCAUGUCGUGUAACAAAAUUCAAUCACCUCUAUUUUUUUGGUAAGAUAAACCAAAUAACAAUAAUCAUUCAUUCCUUCCUUUAAAAAAAAUAAAAAUAAAUCAUAAAUAGAGUAGUCUGGAUUUGAACCUUGGUCCAGCGUACAACCUAACACUUUCUUCAUUUAUCUUAUUUGAUUGAAUGUGUCGGAUAUUUUUGCAACAAAUCUAAAAUCUUAUAAGCAUCUUUUGAAAUUCUUUCUUUGAGGUCCAAAGAACUUUUGCAUUAUAUUGUAUAUUGUACUUUGUGCAAUUUAUAGUGUUAAAGUUAUAGUAAUUUAGUAUAGCAUCUCGUUUCAUACCUUUUCUAAACAUCGAAAAUGUCUUAAUGUUGAUUUGGAAUCUUUCCAUUCAUGAACAUCAACUUAUUAUUACUUGGACAUCAAGGUUGUUUUCAUAGGUCGACCCCAUAAAUUGUAAUUGAUUCCAUUCAUAUGAAGUGAACAAGAACAAUUCCUAGUACGGCUUGAGGGAUUUUGAGACUAAUUUGCGACAUUAAGAGGUUUGUGUUGCUUGAACAGGCUUUAUCCACAUGAUUGACGAUUAAGGAACAAUGCAUUGAAAUAGAGAAUAUAGAGCCAGAGACAUUUUCCACCCAAGUUUUAGAUCCAUGAAUUAUCUUUGGUUUCUCUUGGUAGAAAAACUUUCUCCACUCUCCAACAUGUUUUUUUCUUUCUUUCUUUCUAAUACAAAGUUUUAUUGAAUAGGGUCCGGUGGUUAACCAGAGUCAAUGUAGAUCUUAAUGUUCACAGAACAUUUACAAAUUACACAACAACGAAGUUCUAACUUUGAAUGUGAGAUUUGAAGUCACGUUCUUAUCAUAUAUGAAUCAAUUUCUUACAAACCGGAGCAAUCUGCGUAGAUCUUCAACAUGAUUUCAUAUAUACACAUUUUCUAUGGUUAAAUUCUCGUACAUUUGGUACGUACCAACAAAUUACGUUCAUUUAAAUAUCUUGAUGGUUAACAUAUAUUAAAUUUCACGUAUACAUUUCGUACUAGCUUGUAUAAGUUCACUAGAACAUUUUUUAUGGUUAAAGAUUCACAUACAGUUAAAUACACACAUACUAUUGUAUUUCAGUUGACGUAACAAGUUAGUUUUAGCCGCUUAAGUUCAUGUGCAUAGUGCAUAUAAAAUAUGACUAAUGUUAAGCUAUAAAUUUUAUUUCAUCGACGCUUUUGGUAAAUAAGAUUAAAUUAUUAUAAUUGUUAAUGAUAGAAAAUAAUUAUUUUUUCUUCAAAAAACAAUCAAUUUAAUUAUUAAUUUAAUGUUUGAUGUACCAAUACAUUCAAAAUAUUGAGUGUACCAUAGAAUUUGCCAAUUAACAUACACCGUAUGAAUUGAAUUUGCCUAGUGUCUGUAGAUUGCAUGAACUGAAUUUGCAUACGUGUUAACACGAGUUUCAAAUGUAGAAAAAAAAAAUAGCAAACAGAGAAAAAGGUCACUUGUAUGUAGUUAAUGAAAGAUAUUAAAUAGAAUGUAUAUAAGGUAGGGGUUCUUGGGCAUUAUUGUUAAAUAAUUUGUUUUAAAGGGGUGUAACUAGGAUGUUGCAUGGUGUAAUUAUAAAAAAUCUUGUUUUUGUGAUAUUGGCCUAUGGACGGUAUUUCCUUAGAUCAAGUCUUUCAAAAGCUUAUAGAGCCCAAUUUUUCAAUAUCUUUUAAAAGUGGCUCGAUAAACAUCUCAAUUUCGCUUCCGAUCGAGUUGUAACUUCCGAUCAAUUGUUUUUGCGUGUAAAAUCCAACUAGAUCGUAACUCCCGGUUGACUUUUUUCAGCUAAAUGAUGGAUGGAUGGUUAAAAUAUAUUGCAUAAACUAUUGCAAAUUUAUAGUUUUUUAAAAGAAAAUUUAAAAUAGAGGAGAAAUUGACCAAAUAUAUGCCACCUAACACUAUUCACACUCCUAUUUUUGUUAAGGUUCGUUUACAAUACAAAUAAGCAUACAUACCCUGUAUUAUUUGAAGUGAGUAUACCCUGUUAAUGUUAAGUACACGUAUUCUUUUUUCUAUCAUAAAUUAUGUCACCUCAUAAUCACAUUGGUACAUUGGAUCAUCAGAUUUUAACAUAACCAUGUCAUCUCAUAAUAUAAUAUAGUUCAUAUGUAGAUAUAAUUGGUAAAAUUAUGUUCUCACAAACAUCCAAACCAAGAGUUCUGAUUUCAUUGGCCCCUUGAUAUAUGCUUUUUCCUUUGUGGACAUUCUAUGUUUGAUUAUCAGUAGAGAUGUUACAACUACAAGAAGGUUACAUUUCCUCUUUCACCAUAUCAUCUACAUCUCUAAGUAUUACAUCUCAACCAAAUCACCUUAUCAUAAUACACAAACCAUACUCCAUAAAUAACAAGCUAAAACUUAUCAACCAAAUCAGUAAAAUCACAAACAUCUUCUUACAAUGGCUGCAGUGUUUUGGGCAUUGGCUUUAGCAAGCCUAUGCUACCCUCUAGCCUCAAUCAAUGCUCAAUCACAUGCAGCUGCACCAUCCAAUUUGCCAAUUACAACUUCACCGUUUGUAGCGAAACAACAACCUGUUGUGGCAGCAAUUUCUCCUACUUCUAACAAACCCACAGCCACGGUCACGGCAGCUGCACCAUCGAAGUUGCCAACCACAAAUCCAUCGGAACCAUCAACACUGCCAUUAUACAAACAACAGCCUAUUGUGGCUGCAACUCCUGCUAGUAAUACAAACAAACAACAGCCUAUUGUGGCAGCAACUCCUGCUAGUAAUACAAACAAACAACCUGCAGCAACUUCUCCUACUUCUAACAAACCCAUAACCACAGUCACGGCAGCUGCACCAUCGAAGUUGCCAACAACGAAUCCAUCUGCACCUUCCACAUUGCCCCUAGACAAACAAAAGCCUAUUGUAGCAGCAACUCCUGCUAGUAGUACAAAGCAACCACCAGCAGCAACCUCUCCUAUUUCUAACAAACCCUCGACCACGAUCUCAGCAGCAGCACCAUCCAAAUUACCAACUAUAAUCCCUGCUGCACCUUCCAAGUUGCCAACGGCAGCUUCACCAACUUCUAGUACACCAUCCGCUGCUAAAAAACCACCUAUUGUCGUAGCAACUUCUCCCUUGUCUAGCAAACAACCAACCACCACUCAACCGCCUACAACUGCAAAAUCAUCCCCUGUAAAAUCACCAGUUCCUAAAGUUACGUCUCCAGCAUCUUCCCCUGUGAAGUCACCAGUCCCCAAAGUCGCGACCCCAACAUCUGCUCCCGUGAAGUCACCAGUUCCAAAAGCUACGACUCCAACAUCUGCUCCUGUGAAACCGCCAGUUCCAAAGGUUGCAACUCCAACGGUUGCACCGGCUAAACCACUGGUUCCCAAAGUUACAACUCCAACAGCUGCACCUGUGAAACCAAUAGUUCCAAAAACUACAACUCCAACAUCUGCUCCUUUGAAACCACCAGUUCCGAAAGCUCCCGCACCAAAACCUUCUCCUGUGAAACCACCAGUUCCAAAAUCAAAACCUCCAACAACUGCUCCUGUCAAAUCACCAGUUCCGGAUCCUCCAAAACUCGCUCCUGUAAAGUUGCCAGUCCCAAAGGUUACACCGGCAUUAAGCCCAAAAACCCCAUCCCCUAAAAUUCAACCACCACCACAUCCACCCAAAAAAGCACCUGUUUCUCUACCACCAUUAUCUAUACCACCUGUUUCACUUCCACCAUUACCAUUACCACCAGCUUCUAAACCACCAAAGGUAUCCCCAGCACCUGCAAAGGUUCCAAAAGCACCAGCACCGGCCAAAGAAGCACCAGCACCAGCACCUACACACAAAAAGAAAGCACCAGCACCCGCACCAGACAAAGAAACACCGGCACCAGCACCUACACACAAAAAGAAGAAAGCACCAAAAUCAUCACCUGUUCCUUCCCCAGCAAUUCUCCCACCAUCACCUGCACCAACACCUGCAAUAGACACACCAUCAUCAGCAC
This 22630-nucleotide long non-coding RNA is filed under the name Medicago truncatula (barrel medic). RNAcentral's name for it is "long non-coding RNA (MTRU_LNC006403)". Lineage: Eukaryota; Viridiplantae; Streptophyta; Magnoliopsida; Fabales; Fabaceae. The record is from RNAcentral.